Molecule: long non-coding RNA, 228 nt
Organism: Oncorhynchus keta (chum salmon)
Lineage: Eukaryota; Metazoa; Chordata; Actinopteri; Salmoniformes; Salmonidae
Exons: 3
Source: RefSeq, a predicted model, not a curated record
CUGAGAAGCAGAGGAAGAGGAAGGUUGUAGAUGGUUUCUGGCAGAAAAUGAUGUCCAAUAAAAAAGCCCCAGACAGGAAGAGAGAAAAAGAGAGGAAUGGAAAGAAAGACAACAUCCCUCUUCCUCCUACCACUCCUCCUCUUCCUCCGACCACUCCUCCUCCUCCUCGUUCUCCUCUUCCUCCCGUUCUCUCUCCUCAAGUACUGAAGGUCGAGGCGUCUGCCGUAC